AGAAAGAUGUUUAACACCCAAAAGCAAAUUCAAUACACUUUCGGACAUUACAAAUAAAGGAUAUACACUUUUAUUGUAACCUACGUAAACUUAAAAGUUUUGUUAUUGGAUAUAUAUGGUUACAAAUUAUCUUUGAAAUUAGGAUGACUUGUGACUACACAUAUAACACCAAAUCAAUUUAGAAAGCACUGAUUGGUAGACUACUGAUUGACAAAUGAAUUUAGUUUGAAAAGAAUGUAUGAUUUAUUUAUUAGUAAUAAUUGACUUGAGAACUUAACUAAGAACCAAGAAACUGUGUGUACUCUUAUAUUGGUUAUUUUUUAUUUGUGUCAUUUUGUCUUCGCGCCAGUCUGAUAAGUCAACCAAUUUCAAAUAACGUGUAUAGUUUAGUCUUAUCUUGUGCUGUUUCAUUGUUGUCUAUGGUUUAAUGAAGACAUGGAUGAGUUUCACUCUCAUCAACAUGACAUAUUCCAUGUGUCUGUCCAAAUCCAGAGCCUGUAUUUAAUAAACUGUCGUUGAUUGUGUUUGACCCUAUUUUUGGCAUGAGUUUUUUAAUUGUUUCAUAAUUUUGCAUGAGAAAGGACUUAUUUUUAGCUAUAUUUUAUGUGUUUAAUUUAUCGCUAAAAAUCUUUUAUUGACAAGCAGUUUUCUUUCACAUUAUCAUUUUGUCUCUAGUUGACCGUUAUCCAAUUUUCCAACUGAUUUUUUUUCGCUGUGGUGAAGACACAUUGAUGUCCUUCGGCUGUUAUCGGCUUUUUAUCGGGUUGUUCUCCCUUUUACAUAUAACACAUAUCCCAUUUCCCUUCAUUAUUUUAUACCACAUCUCUAUAUUUCUAAAUCAAAUACAAAUACGGUGUUUGUUCGGUCCAAAUAAAAUUGACCUUUUUAAGUGUAGUGAAGAUGAAAAAGAGGCUCAAAAUGCAAAAAGAUUCGAAGUAAAAAAAAAAAGAAAAAAUGGGGGUUUUACAUAUUCACAAAAUUUGCCAAGAUCUGAUACAUCGUCAAAGUAAGCUUCUCCUGUAAUGGAAGAUAUAUUUUAUUGUUGUUAUAAUAUCAUACUUGAUUAUAUCUAUAACAAAAGUUGUAUCUCUAGAAAAAUGAAUGUGCUAGCGACUAUGGAUUUUAGAAUGUAAUGCUAAUCAAAUUGAAGAAUAAAAUAAGUAAAAC
Molecule: long non-coding RNA, 1167 nt
Filed under: Mytilus galloprovincialis (Mediterranean mussel)
Lineage: Eukaryota; Metazoa; Mollusca; Bivalvia; Mytilida; Mytilidae
Source: RNAcentral